Molecule: transfer RNA, 76 nt
Filed under: Prevotella aff. ruminicola Tc2-24
Lineage: Bacteria; Pseudomonadati; Bacteroidota; Bacteroidia; Bacteroidales; Prevotellaceae
Also listed under: 1 other name
Description: tRNA_Lys_TTT
Rfam family: tRNA
About the family: Transfer RNA (tRNA) molecules are approximately 80 nucleotides in length. Their secondary structure includes four short double-helical elements and three loops (D, anti-codon, and T loops).
Source: RNAcentral
GACUCGUUAGCUCAGUUGGUAGAGCACAACACUUUUAAUGUUGGGGUCUUGGGUUCGAGCCCCAAACGAGUCACAA